AUGAAACACUCCUACGGGAGGCAGCAGUGAGGAAUAUUGGUCAAUGGACGGAAGUCUGAACCAGCCAAGUAGCGUGCAGGAUGACGGCCCUAUGGGUUGUAAACUGCUUUUAUGCGGGGAUAAAGUUAGUCACGUGUGACUAUUUGCAGGUACCGCAUGAAUAAGGACCGGCUAAUUCCGUGCCAGCAGCCGCGGUAAUACGGAAGGUCCCGGCGUUAUCCGGAUUUAUUGGGUUUAAAGGGAGCGUAGGCCGUGGAUUAAGCGUGUUGUGAAAUGUAGACGCUCAACGUCUGACUUGCAGCGCGAACUGGUUCACUUGAGUGUGCGCAACGCAGGCGGAAUUCGUGGUGUAGCGGUGAAAUGCUUAGAUAUCACGAAGAACUCCGAUUGCGAAGGCAGCUUGCGGGAGCACAACUGACGCUGAAGCUCGAAAGUGCGGGUAUCAAACAGGAUUAGAAACCCGUGUAGUCCGAAGUUC
RNAcentral lists this ribosomal RNA (478 nucleotides) under uncultured bacterium. RNAcentral's name for it is "bacterial SSU rRNA". It matches the Rfam family "Bacterial small subunit ribosomal RNA", at positions 328 to 803 of the family's 1533-position model. The record is from RNAcentral.